Lepidothrix coronata (blue-crowned manakin) is the source of this 505-nucleotide long non-coding RNA. RefSeq lists it as uncharacterized. The transcript has 2 exons. Lineage: Eukaryota; Metazoa; Chordata; Aves; Passeriformes; Pipridae. The record is from RefSeq and is a predicted model, not a curated record.
CCUCGCUGCUCCCUCCCUCUCUCUCUCCCUCUCUGCUGCAUUUUGCAUGAGCUAUCUAGGUCAUUAGCAUUUUAGCGUAUGCAAGACUUGACAAAGCUGAUGAGAAGCCAGAUGGGCCCCUCUCCUCUUUUUUUUGCACCACUUGGGAUCUGAGCGAAAGGAUUGACUGCAGCAGGCGAACGGGGGAAGGUUUAUUGCGCUCCUCCAGACCCCCCCGUUUAUAGCAGCGCGGCGGGGCUCGGGGCAGGCGGCAGAGAGCGGGCAGCGGCGGGCAGAGACGGAGGGCAGCUCCGCGCCCGGACCCUCACCUACGGAAUGGUGCCCUUGGGAACACUGACAGCGGCUCGGGGGCCCUGGGACGCCUCUUUGCUCCCCCCCGCGGGGUGCUGCAGGUAUUUCGGGACAGCCCUCCCUGGGCUCUCCUCCCGCCGGGUGCGGAUGCCGCAAGGAGCCCGUCGGGUCGUGCCGUGCCGUGCCAAUAAAGCUCUUUCCUCGCGGGUUCCCG